Long non-coding RNA from Xiphophorus couchianus (Monterrey platyfish), 419 nucleotides. RefSeq lists it as uncharacterized. The transcript is spliced from 2 exons. Lineage: Eukaryota; Metazoa; Chordata; Actinopteri; Cyprinodontiformes; Poeciliidae. The record is from RefSeq and is a predicted model, not a curated record.
CCACUUAAAUCAAGCCCAUUUGUUUACUUUUGAUUAAUAACACCUGGAACAUCAACUGUAGUGCAUCUUUCAACCUGUCAUGUCAUGAUUUUCUUUUAUUUUACCCCUGAGACGUAAAGUUUUUCUUAUUUAUUGUUUUAUUUUUCUUUUGAACAGCCUUUUAGGUGGAGCCAUAUCUUGAGAAACUAAAAGAGCCCCACCCUUUACUACAUUUUAGCAGCUGAUCCCUGUAAUUAAAGCUGGGAAUUUUCUGGAUGGAUUUAUGUCUGCUUACAUGGGUUUUCUCCAGCAGACCAACACAUGGAGCCACAGGAGGCGCGAAAACAGAUCGACACAUCAGUCGGCCAAUUACCAGCAAAUCAACAAGCAACUGAUCUUCAGGUUUAGAAUCAAAUAAUCAAAAUAAAGGGAGAAACCUC